UGCGUAGGCGGAUUGGCAAGUCAGAAGUGAAAUCCAUGGGCUUAACCCAUGAACUGCUUUUGAAACUGUUAGUCUUGAGUGAAGUAGAGGUAGGCGGAAUUCCCGGUGUAGCGGUGAAAUGCGUAGAGAUCGGGAGGAACACCAGUGGCGAAGGCGGCCUACUGGGCACCAACUGACGCUGAGGCUCGAAAGUGUGGGUAGCAAACA
RNAcentral lists this ribosomal RNA (207 nucleotides) under uncultured bacterium. RNAcentral describes it as "partial 16S ribosomal RNA". It matches the Rfam family "Bacterial small subunit ribosomal RNA", at positions 568 to 774 of the family's 1533-position model. The record is from RNAcentral.